UCCCACCUGGUCUCCUCUCUUCCCGCCUCCUCCCACGAAACCCUAGCCGCCGCGCCGUGCAGCCGCCGCGCCAUGCAGCCGCCGCCGCUACCGCGCCCUUCUCCUCCUUCCACCUCCUGGCCGGAGCCCAACCACCGCUCUCUCUCCCUCCCCCUACCACCGGCCUCUCCCUAGGUGGCGGCCAGAUCUGCCACGGCCACAGCCACGACGGAGGCUUCUGGAUCCGCGCUGCCGUCGAGCUGGGCACGACCAUCAACCUCGGACCACACUGCCGCCACCAUGGAUGCACCAUAUCAAGGUCGCAAUGGCUGACAAAGAGCUUCAGGUUCAUGGUUCACCAGGUUCUGCUGGCUCCACUAACAGUUGCCUGCAAGCACUUGCACAGGUCAGCUGAGAUACGUCUUGCAGACCUACGAGUUGAUUCUUCUAGGAUCUAAUUUUCUAAACGAACUUUCAGUUGCAAUGCACAAAUAUGUUGCUAGAUGAGGUUUAGAACUUAGUUGGCAGAAGCUAUUUUAAGAUUAGUAUAUUGUAGUAUUUCUCUGAGGGAAUUCUGUGAAUAUUUGGUCAUUGCCAACAAAUCUAAAAUAGAAUGGAAGUGAUUGUUUGGAAUGGAUAAUACUCUGCUGCUCAUGUCUGUUACUUUUAAUGCAUACAAUAUUUUGCUUACAUGUUUGCUAAUAAACUUCUAUGAGGACCCCUGCUGGAGACAUAUGGAGUUGAGGAAGAAUGCAAGUGAAUGGAGCUUGUUGAGUUGUUGUUCGCCUGAUCAUACGUGAUAUGUCAAGUGUGAACUACCCAUUCUCCGCCUCUCCUACAGUCUGUAACAUAAGCGUUAGGCCUGAGCGUGUGAGUCUGUGAGAGUAGAUGGUAGGUCAUUGGAUAUAAAAGGGGCCUUUAGUAGUCCAUUUAUCUUUCCAGAAUGAAGUUGGAAGAGCAGGAGCUCCUCUGCUCCACCCUUCGGAUCCCUUCCUCUGUAGUAUUUAGUUUCUUUGUUGUAUGUUGUAUUUAGUUAGUACUUUUCAGAUGGCUUAACUCCCUUUCUCUGUAGUACCUGGAGCCCAUAAGUGGAGGUGUUUGUUCCUCAUAUGCAACCUUAUUAUCUGAUAGAUAGAUUGUGAAACACAGCAGGAGUUUGAGUUUAUUUUCAUUCACCAGAACACAACAAUAGUAGUAGACUCCCGUAAAAACCAGCAGUCGAACUGAACUAGAAUACUGUGUGUAUUUUAGCUUAAGUAAUCUAGGAUUCACUCCUGGAUGUUAGAGCAACAUAUUUCAAAAUGUAAUUAAUUAAUGUUGCUUCCCACGAAGUAUAUUUCUUUUGUUUCAAUAAGCAUUAUGCACAACUUGAUGCUUUGUGCGACGUCGAGUUCAUCUUAUUAUGUGAAUAUAGUGGUUGGCAUGCUCAAUUUGUCCUCAUUGGCAUCUGAACCUGAGGCUCCCGACUUACUCAAAUGUUCUCCAGUCAUUCCCACCUCUCCUACAAAUGUGAUGAAUUUGGCAUGGGUAUGCGUAUAGUUGGAAUGAGGCACCAUGGGAAGGAUUCAAAUCUCUGAGAAGUGUGCUAAAUCAAUAGUGCCAAGCCAAUCGGUUCAGUUUCAACUUCAAAAACAUUAGGUGAUUGAAAAUGGCAUGCAAUAUUUCUGCAACAAGGCUCCCUAAAUAUUCCCUAUGUUCUAAACUGGAUUCUGACAAGGGUGUACACCCUGCUAUUUGGUCAGAAGUUUGGGAGUUCAUAUUUGGUUGUUUGAUCUCGAGAACACCUUUGAUGACCACGAGCAAAUUGGGCGAACCAGAAGGUACUUCUAGGACACGGACAAUUUCCCUCAAGGUCAAGACCUCACAUCAACGCUUCCAAGCCCCUGAUGAGCCUUUUCCUUUUUUUUAAGUUUCUUAAUGUCACUUCUAUAGGUUUACUUGAGAUGUUAUGUUGCAUAUGUUGUGCUGAGGUUUUCCCACUUCCCUUUUAACUUCUCUGAAGUUGAUCAUCACAUGUUUAUGCAAUUGGACCAAAGCGACGACAUUACUUACAGCUAACCCGGUUAACAUAACAGUUAUGAACUAGGAUGAACUUAUACAUGUAGAGAGAGAGGUUGUUUAAAGAAUCCAGUACCUUUGUGUUUGCCUACAGAAUUCAAUAUUUGUUCAUGCGGUCAUCCUCGGCCUCUCUCUCUCUCUAUCUCUCUCUCUUUCUAUGUGUGUGUGUGUCCUGACUCUUUGUGCCUGUGUUGACCAUUUGUUUGUCCAUGCGAUUUUACUGUGGACUACUCUUUCUAAUUUGGCUUGUAGAUAGGGUCACUUUUAGAUAUUCUAUAGGGUGAUUACUGUUGUUGCAGCGCUGGAUGGCAUGUAGUAGUGCUGGAUCCGGUGGCUAACCGUCGCCGUUGCCUGUCCUCUUUGAGGCGAGAUCCACGCUGCUCCACUCGGUCCAGGUUGCCGGCAUCAUGAAGCUUGAUAAGGUUUCCGGCCGGUUUGCCACAUAACUUGCAGUCUAGGUCGUGGACAUAUUCGGGUUCUAGGUCACAGAAACAAAAUUUGGAGUUAUUUUAUCUGGCUCAAAAUGUUUGGCUCAACAAUUUGCUGCAUUAGAUAUCUUUUUGUGCUUAUUUUUUGUGAAUUCUACAACUUGUAGCAUUGAGCUAAACUGACAUUUGUUUUAGUUAACUUCCAUUCCUGGAUGUUUUUAAACUGAUAUUAUUUCCAUAAGUUCAGGUUUGUACUUGGCUUUAUCAGAAUUAGAAUAUGCAGAACAUGUGUUGGAGAAGUGCCCAUUUGGUUUUAUGAAAUAAUAUUCAUGUUGAUUGCAUUUUGUUAUAGGAAUGCUCAAAGAAUCUAAUGUUUGAUCAUGUUGUUGACAGGCUCUGUUAUGAUAAUUCUUUGAUAAGGUGGUCACAUUCCACAUGAAGAAGAACCCGUAGUACCAUGUUUUACCAUCGUAUCACCACUCUGUUUGGCUUUUGCUUUCUUUUUAUUUUCC
Triticum dicoccoides is the source of this 2977-nucleotide long non-coding RNA. RefSeq lists it as uncharacterized. The record is from RefSeq and is a predicted model, not a curated record. NCBI's taxonomy places the organism in Eukaryota, Viridiplantae, Streptophyta, Magnoliopsida, Poales, Poaceae. The transcript has 5 exons.